RNAcentral lists this small nuclear RNA (104 nucleotides) under Neotoma lepida (desert woodrat). The record is from RNAcentral. Lineage: Eukaryota; Metazoa; Chordata; Mammalia; Rodentia; Cricetidae.
AUACGUUUGACGGUGUAUUUAUUAAACACUGGAAUGAUACAGAGAUGACCAGCAUGGCCCCUGCACAAGGAAUAACACACAUUUGUGAAGCAUUUCAUACUAAA